Molecule: ribosomal RNA, 350 nt
Filed under: uncultured bacterium
Lineage: Bacteria
Description: bacterial SSU rRNA
Rfam family: Bacterial small subunit ribosomal RNA
Source: RNAcentral
UGGGGAAUAUUGGACAAUGGGCGGAAGCCUGAUCCAGCAACGCCGCGUGAGGGAUGACGGCCUUCGGGUUGUAAACCUCUUUCAGUGGGGACGAAGCGCAAGUGACGGUACCCACAGAAGAAGCACCGGCCAACUACGUGCCAGCAGCCGCGGUAAUACGUAGGGUGCGAGCGUUGUCCGGAAUUAUUGGGCGUAAAGGGCUCGUAGGCGGUUUGUCGCGUCGGGAGUGAAAACACUGGGCUUAACUCAGUGCUUGCUUCCGAUACGGGCAGACUAGAGGUAUUCAGGGGAGAACGGAAUUCCUGGUGUAGCGGUGAAAUGCGCAGAUAUCAGGAGGAACACCGGUGGCG